GCAAAACUGGUGGUGUCAGUAAUAUCCACUUACCCUAUAUAUCAUUUCUUUUUGAGUCAUCACAUUUUUGUAAUUCUUUCUUCCCCUUUAUAUAUGUAGUCAUUUUUCUCUUAAACCUUAAAAGAUAUUAGAGGUAUAGUGGGUGAACAUUAUGUGGAUACAUAUAAAAUUUAAACAUACUACAUAAUCAUUGUUAUCUCCCAACAUAUCUCACAGCAUAUCGUUUACAUAGGGGCUUUUCCACUCCUGUGCCAAGUCCUUUCCUUGAGAAGAUACCCAUAGCCACAGAAGUACACCCAUGACACUUUCCCACCCUCAACACCUCUCCAUAUUUAAGUGAGAUGGAUACUUGACUCAAGGAUAUCUGAUUUCCUGGGCUGGGGAUAUGGCUCAAGCGAUAGCGCGCUCGCCUGGCAUGCGUGCGGCCUGGGUUCGAUCCUCAGCACCACAUACAAACAAAGAUGUUGUGCCCGCCGAUAACUAAAAAAUAAAUAUUAAAAUUCUCCCUCUCUCUCUCUUUUUCCUGGUUGGAUUGAAGAUAGUGAACUUGGGUUUUGGGUUUCAAGAAAGAUGAGCUGGAUCAAUUGGAAUUCACUUCUGGGGUACUAAUUGAGACUGAGUCCAUUGGGUGUGGUCUCUAUAGCUAGAUGGAGGGUUGUGUAGAGUUGGGAGCAAGAGGCGUCAGUACUGAUGCACAUGCAAUCAAAUGAGUAAGUAGAGAGGGGAUAGAGGUGUGCAUCGAGGAGCAGAGACCAUGGGACGUCUGAGAAAUGGGGAUCUUCUGUUGAAUUUGGCUUCAAUAUAUGAUUUGCAAUGACAUCUAAGCUGUGUCUUCUAUUGCAUUUCCUACAUACCUCAACUUUGUUGGGGUCUCUGGGGUGCAGUUCUGUAG
This 892-nucleotide long non-coding RNA is filed under the name Marmota monax (woodchuck). Lineage: Eukaryota; Metazoa; Chordata; Mammalia; Rodentia; Sciuridae. The record is from RNAcentral.